This is a long non-coding RNA of Pan troglodytes (chimpanzee), 1584 nucleotides long. RefSeq lists it as uncharacterized. The record is from RefSeq and is a predicted model, not a curated record. NCBI's taxonomy places the organism in Eukaryota, Metazoa, Chordata, Mammalia, Primates, Hominidae. The transcript has 2 exons.
GACUUUUCCAAGAGGAAAGGCGUUAGACGGCCUUUCAGGCAGAACCCGAUAAAUAUCCAGCCACAGAGACCGAGGUUGAUGUGAGGAUCGCGCAGAUUCAGCUUCUCAAUGCCAAGAGGAAGUGGCUAGUUUCAGCGUCCACGGUUCCCAUGGUGACUCUCCUCACUUCCGGCCGGGCGCAAACGCACCCCUAGCCACACGCCCUAAUACGAGGAUAGCUCGUGACAAACAGAAUGCAGUAUCCCUAAAGCCUCUGCAGUCCCUGCGAUUGUGGGAUCCUGACUAUGUCAGGAUUUUGGCUUUGCAGGGUGUGGUAAGGGUCUUGCUCUUGCCUGGGGCUGGAGUGCAGGGUGAAGUCACACCUCAUUGCAGCCUCAACCUCCCAGACUCAAGCAAUCCUCCCACCUCAGCAGGCAUAUAUAAAUGGAAUCAUCGAAAUUUAAAAUUUGCACUUCAAAGAACACCAUCAAGAAAGUGAAGACAACCCAGAGAAUGGGAGAAAAUAUUUGCAAUCAUAUAUCUGAUAAAGGACAUGUAUACAGAAUUUUGUAAAACUAUUACAACUGAAUAAUAAGAACAAAUAACACAAUGAAAAAAAUGGCAAAGUAUUUGGUUAGAUAGUUCUCCAAAGAAGAUAUAUAAUGGCCAAUAAACACAUGAAAAGCUGCUGAACAUCAUUAGCCAUCAGGGAAAUGCAAAUCAAAACGACAGUGAGAUACCACUUCCCACCUACUAGCUUGACCGUAAUCCAGAAGACAGAUUACAAGUAUUGGAAAGGAUGUGAAGAAAUUACAACUUUCAUACCUUGCUGGCAGGAAUGUAAAAUGGUGCAACCAUUUUGGAAAACAGUUUGGCAGUUUCUUCAGUCAGUAAAACAUACCAUAUGACCCAGCAAUUCCACCCCUAGUUGUAUACUUAAGAGAAAUGAAAAUGUGUGCACCCAAGAACUUGUAUAUGAAUGUUCAUAGCUGCAAAAUCCAUAACAGUCAUUAUGUGGAAACAACCUAAAUGUCUAUCAGCUGAUGUAUGAAUAAACAAAACAUGCUAUGUUCAUACAAUGGAAUAUUGUUUGGCCAUAGUAAGAAAUGGUACCAAUACAUGCUACAAUGUGAAUGAACCUUAAAAACAUGCUAAGUGAAAGAAGUCAGUCACAGAAAACCACAUAUAAUAUGAUUCUAUUGAUAUGAAAUAUCCAGAAUAGGCAAAUAUACAGAGAUAGAAAAAUUAGUGGUUGCCUAUGGGGAGGGGCUUGGGGAGUGGUAUCUAAAUGGUGCAGUUUCUUUUGGAGGUAGUGAAAAAGUUCUAAAAAAUGAUUGGGAGGCCAGGUGCAUGGCUCAGGCCUGUAAUCCCAGCACUUUCGAAGGCUGAGGCAGGAGGAUUGCUCGAGCCAAGGAGCUCAAGAUCAGCCUAGGCAACAUAGCGAGACCCCAUCUCUAUAAAAAAAAUUAAUUAAAGGAAAAAGAUGAUCAGGGCAGUAAAUACACAAGUCUGUGAUUAUACUAAAACCAUUGAAAUGUAAACUUUUAAUGGGUAAAUUGCAUAGUAUUUGGAUUAUAUCUGAAUAAAGCUGUUUUUAGAAAAAUA